This is a non-coding RNA of Procavia capensis (Cape rock hyrax), 97 nucleotides long. Lineage: Eukaryota; Metazoa; Chordata; Mammalia; Hyracoidea; Procaviidae. The record is from Rfam.
CUGAAAAGGCUCUCUUCCUCUGCUGUAUGUUCACUCACAUGGAAGGUCUGGGGAGUUCUCUAAAAUGCUUUUCAAAGAUGCCCUUCACAGUUCAGCC